AUAUCUAUGGUGGCGACCGGCGCACGGGUGCGUAACGCGUAUGCAACCUACCUUUAACAGGGGGAUAACACUGAGAAAUUGGUACUAAUACCCCAUAAUAUCAUAGAAGGCAUCUUUUAUGGUUGAAAAUUCCGAUGGUUAGAGAUGGGCAUGCGUUGUAUUAGCUAGUUGGUGGGGUAACGGCUCACCAAGGCGACGAUACAUAGGGGGACUGAGAGGUUAACCCCCCACACUGGUACUGAGACACGGACCAGACUCCUACGGGAGGCAGCAGUGAGGAAUAUUGGUCAAUGGACGCAAGUCUGAACCAGCCAUGCCGCGUGCAGGAUGACGGCUCUAUGAGUUGUAAACUGCUUUUGUACGAGGGUAAACGCAGAUACGUGUAUCUGUCUGAAAGUAUCGUACGAAUAAGGAUCGGCUAACUCCGUGCCAGCAGCCGCGGUAAUACGGAGGAUUCAAGCGUUAUCCGGAUUUAUUGGGUUUAAAGGGUGCGUAGGCGGUUUGAUAAGUUAGAGGUGAAAUUUCGGGGCUCAACCCUGAACGUGCCUCUAAUACUGUUGAGCUAGAGAGUAGUUGCGGUAGGCGGAAUGUAUGGUGUAGCGGUGAAAUGCUUAGAGAUCAUACAGAACACCGAUUGCGAAGGCAGCUUACCAAACUAUAUCUGACGUUGAGGCACGAAAGCGUGGGGAGCAAACAGGAUUAGAUACCCUGGUAGUCCACGCGGUAAACGAUGAUAACUCGUUGUCGGCGAUACACAGUCGGUGACUAAGCGAAAGCGAUAAGUUAUCCACCUGGGG
This 797-nucleotide ribosomal RNA is filed under the name uncultured bacterium. RNAcentral's name for it is "bacterial SSU rRNA". It matches the Rfam family "Bacterial small subunit ribosomal RNA", at positions 79 to 878 of the family's 1533-position model. The record is from RNAcentral.